RNAcentral lists this ribosomal RNA (497 nucleotides) under uncultured bacterium. RNAcentral's name for it is "partial 16S ribosomal RNA". It matches the Rfam family "Bacterial small subunit ribosomal RNA", at positions 28 to 507 of the family's 1533-position model. The record is from RNAcentral.
GACGAACGCUGGCGGCGUGCCUAAUACAUGCAAGUUGAGCGAUGAAGAUUGGUGCUUGCACCAAUUUGAAGAGCAGCGAACGGGUGAGUAACGCGUGGGGAAUCUGCCUUUGAGCGGGGGACAACAUUUGGAAACGAAUGCUAAUACCGCAUAACAACUUUAAACAUAAGUUUUAAGUUUGAAAGAUGCAAUUGCAUCACUCAAAGAUGAUCCCGCGUUGUAUUAGCUAGUUGGUGAGGUAAAGGCUCACCAAGGCGAUGAUACAUAGCCGACCUGAGAGGGUGAUCGGCCACAAUGGGACUGAGACACGGCCCAAACUCCUACGGGAGGGAGCAGUAGGGAAUCUUCGGCAAUGGAAGAAAGUCUGACCGAGCAACGCCGCGUGAGUGAAGAAAGUUUUCGGAUCGUAAAACUCUGUUGGUAGAGAAGAACGUUGGUGGGAGUGGAAAGCUCAUCAAGUGACGGUAACUACCCAGAAAGGAACGGCUAACUACGUG